UGGGGAAUCUUCCGCAAUGGACGAAAGUCUGACGGAGCAACGCCGCGUGAACGAUGACGGCCUUCGGGUUGUAAAGUUCUGUUAUACGGGACGAAUGGCGUAGCGGUCAAUACCCGUUACGAGUGACGGUACCGUAAGAGAAAGCCACGGCUAACUACGUGCCAGCAGCCGCGGUAAUACGUAGGUGGCAAGCGUUGUCCGGAAUUAUUGGGCGUAAAGGGCGCGCAGGCGGCGUCGUAAGUCGGUCUUAAAAGUGCGGGGCUUAACCCCGUGAGGGGACCGAAACUGCGAUGCUAGAGUAUCGGAGAGGAAAGC
Molecule: ribosomal RNA, 315 nt
Filed under: uncultured Megasphaera sp.
Lineage: Bacteria; Bacillati; Bacillota; Negativicutes; Veillonellales; Veillonellaceae
Description: bacterial SSU rRNA
Rfam family: Bacterial small subunit ribosomal RNA
Source: RNAcentral